Long non-coding RNA from Cygnus atratus (black swan), 1553 nucleotides. RefSeq lists it as uncharacterized. The transcript has 4 exons. The record is from RefSeq and is a predicted model, not a curated record. Lineage: Eukaryota; Metazoa; Chordata; Aves; Anseriformes; Anatidae.
GUUGGUUUACAACAACCAAGCAGUUGCAUUCAUCUCAAGCAUGAUGAAGUUCUGUACUUCCCUACGUGGAGAUGAGCUGUAAUUCCGACGUCAUCGCACUGAGGCACCAAAGUUGGAUGCAUGAAACCAGGCAGCAUGACAAACAUCCUCAAGGAAGACAGGUGCUUUGCAUCAAGAACAAAGCUAUGACACCAGGCUCUCCUGAAAGGGACAUGGGACUGGAGUUCUGCUCUUCAGUGUCACCCAGGCAGAAGACAGCACGGUGUUCCCUGGAGCUUCAUACCUGCGGAUUAGUUGGCGAGUACAUCCAUGGCCAGCGGCAUCUGCUGAAGACAAUAGCUAGGAGGAAUUCAAGACAAGCUCCCUGCCAUACCAUGAAAUCCCAUUCCAUGCUGAUCAGUACCUUCCUGGACCGUCACCAAGGCUGCAACCUUUCAGCAUGUGCCUAAACCUCUGCCACUUGUGCUCACGGAGUAGCUGAUUGCAGUUGCUGUCAAGCAGCUCUCAGAGGAGAUGGACUUGGAUGUUGGCCCUCACAGCUGCUUGCUGGCAGCAAAGCAAUGAAGAGAUCAUGGAUGAAGAGUUGUAGGGGAGGGGAACCUGCUCAUCCAGGCAUGGACACAGCUUGGGAACAAACAGGAGGAAUUAGCAGCCUGCAUGAACUGCAGUGCUGUGAGCUCUUUGGCAUCACAGAGGAAUGGUAAGAUAGCUCACACAAUCGACAUGCUGUGGUGGAUGGGUACAUGAUGCUCAGGAAGGGCAGCAAGAGAGCAGGGGGAAAGCAUGGAGUUCCGCCUGCAAAUGGGAGAUAAGCCAGCUGGGAACUUAGGGGUCAUAAUUGGUGGGCAGACCAACACGGGUGAUUUUGUCAUGAGUGUCAAAGGGUUGUGAUCAGUGGCAUGAAGUCCAGCUGGAGGCCAGGUGGUGUACCCAAGGGGUCAUCGCUGGGAAUGGUGCUGUUUAACACUCUCAUUAAUAACCCAGAUGAUGGGGCAGAGAGCACCCUCAGCAAGUCUGCAGAUGGCACAACGCAGGAAGGAGCAGUUGACAGAGCAGGUGGGUGUGCGAGCAUCCAGAGGAACCUGGGCAGGCUGGAGACCUGAGCAGACAGGAACCUCAUAACAUUCAGCAAUGGGAAAUGCAAAGACCUGCACCUGGGAAAGAACCAACCCCAUUGCACCAGCACCUGCUGGGGGCCAAACAGCUGGAGAGCAGCUUGCCAGAAGAGGACCUCGGGUUUCUGGUGCACAACAACUUGAACAUGAAGUCCAACUGGGGUGUGUUAGGCAGAGCGUUGCAAGGUCAAGGGAGGUGAUUCUUCCCCUCUGCUCAGCACUGGUGCUGGGUCCAGUGCUGGGCUCCCAGUACAAGAGCGACCUGGACAUGCUGGAGUGAGUCCGGUGAAGGGCUGCAGAGACGACUGAAAGUUUGGAGCAUCUGACAUAUGAGGAGACUGAGAGAGAUGGGACCAUUCAGUCUGGACCAUUUUUCUUGCCCUUUUAAUUCUAGUUUUCUUUUAUUAGACUGAACACCCCUGCAAGUACCCUUCACUC